AGUGAACGCUGGCGGUAGGCCUAACACAUGCAAGUCGAACGGCAGCACAGUAAGAGCUUGCUCUUACGGGUGGCGAGUGGCGGACGAGUGAGGAAUACAUCGGAAUCUACUUUUUCGUGGGGGAUAACGUAGGGAAACUUACGCUAAUACCGCAUACGACCUACGGGUGAAAGCAGGGGAUCUUCGGACCUUGCGCGAUUGAAUGAGCCGAUGUCGGAUUAGCUAGUUGGCGGGGUAAAGGCCCACCAAGGCGACGAUCCGUAGCUGGUCUGAGAGGAUGAUCAGCCACACUGGAACUGAGACACGGUCCAGACUCCUACGGGAGGCCGCAGUGGGGAAUAUUGGACAAUGGGCGCAAGCCUGAUCCAGCCAUACCGCGUGGGUGAAGAAGGCCUUCGGGUUGUAAAGCCCUUUUGUUGGGAAAGAAAAGCAGCAGGUUAAUACCCCGCUGUUCUGACGGUACCCAAAGAAUAAGCACCGGCUAACUUCGUG
Molecule: ribosomal RNA, 492 nt
Filed under: uncultured bacterium
Lineage: Bacteria
Description: partial 16S ribosomal RNA
Rfam family: Bacterial small subunit ribosomal RNA
Source: RNAcentral